This 1522-nucleotide ribosomal RNA is filed under the name metagenome. Its description in RNAcentral is "bacterial SSU rRNA". It matches the Rfam family "Bacterial small subunit ribosomal RNA". The record is from RNAcentral.
AGAGUUUGAUCAUGGCUCAGAUUGAACGCUGGCGGCAGGCCUAACACAUGCAAGUCGAACGGUAACAGGAAACAGCUUGCUGUUUCGCUGACGAGUGGCGGACGGGUGAGUAAUGUCUGGGAAACUGCCUGAUGGAGGGGGAUAACUACUGGAAACGGUAGCUAAUACCGCAUAACGUCGCAAGACCAAAGAGGGGGACCUUCGGGCCUCUUGCCAUCAGAUGUGCCCAGAUGGGAUUAGCUAGUAGGUGGGGUAACGGCUCACCUAGGCGACGAUCCCUAGCUGGUCUGAGAGGAUGACCAGCCACACUGGAACUGAGACACGGUCCAGACUCCUACGGGAGGCAGCAGUGGGGAAUAUUGCACAAUGGGCGCAAGCCUGAUGCAGCCAUGCCGCGUGUAUGAAGAAGGCCUUCGGGUUGUAAAGUACUUUCAGCGGGGAGGAAGGGAGUAAAGUUAAUACCUUUGCUCAUUGACGUUACCCGCAGAAGAAGCACCGGCUAACUCCGUGCCAGCAGCCGCGGUAAUACGGAGGGUGCAAGCGUUAAUCGGAAUUACUGGGCGUAAAGCGCACGCAGGCGGUUUGUUAAGUCAGAUGUGAAAUCCCCGGGCUCAACCUGGGAACUGCAUCUGAUACUGGCAAGCUUGAGUCUCGUAGAGGGGGGUAGAAUUCCAGGUGUAGCGGUGAAAUGCGUAGAGAUCUGGAGGAAUACCGGUGGCGAAGGCGGCCCCCUGGACGAAGACUGACGCUCAGGUGCGAAAGCGUGGGGAGCAAACAGGAUUAGAUACCCUGGUAGUCCACGCCGUAAACGAUGUCGACUUGGAGGUUGUGCCCUUGAGGCGUGGCUUCCGGAGCUAACGCGUUAAGUCGACCGCCUGGGGAGUACGGCCGCAAGGUUAAAACUCAAAUGAAUUGACGGGGGCCCGCACAAGCGGUGGAGCAUGUGGUUUAAUUCGAUGCAACGCGAAGAACCUUACCUGGUCUUGACAUCCACGGAAGUUUUCAGAGAUGAGAAUGUGCCUUCGGGAACCGUGAGACAGGUGCUGCAUGGCUGUCGUCAGCUCGUGUUGUGAAAUGUUGGGUUAAGUCCCGCAACGAGCGCAACCCUUAUCCUUUGUUGCCAGCGGUCCGGCCGGGAACUCAAAGGAGACUGCCAGUAAUAAACUGGAGGAAGGUGGGGAUGACGUCAAGUCAUCAUGGCCCUUACGACCAGGGCUACACACGUGCUACAAUGGCGCAUACAAAGAGAAGCGACCUCGCGAGAGCAAGCGGACCUCAUAAAGUGCGUCGUAGUCCGGAUUGGAGUCUGCAACUCGACUCCAUGAAGUCGGAAUCGCUAGUAAUCGUGGAUCAGAAUGCCACGGUGAAUACGUUCCCGGGCCUUGUACACACCGCCCGUCACACCAUGGGAGUGGGUUGCAAAAGAAGUAGGUAGCUUAACCUUCGGGAGGGCGCUUACCACUUUGUGAUUCAUGACUGGGGUGAAGUCGUAACAAGGUAACCGUAGGGGAACCUGCGGUUG